This 104-nucleotide microRNA precursor is filed under the name Paramuricea clavata. The record is from RNAcentral. Lineage: Eukaryota; Metazoa; Cnidaria; Anthozoa; Malacalcyonacea; Plexauridae.
GAAUUUCGGUCACGUCGAAUGCAAUUAAGACAAUAGAUAAUGAGAUGAUAAACCUCAUUAAGCUUCAUCUAUUUUUUGAAUUGCAUUCGACGCGACCGAAAUUC